GACGAACGCUGGCGGCGUGCUUAACACAUGCAAGUCGAACGGAAAGGCCCUGCUUUUGUGGGGUGCUCGAGUGGCGAACGGGUGAGUAACCCGUGAGUAACCUGCCCUUGACUUUGGGAUAACUUCAGGAAACUGGGGCUAAUACCGGAUAGGAGCUCCUGCUGCAUGGUGGGGGUUGGAAAGCUUCGGCGGUUGGGGAUGGACUCGCGGCUUAUCAGCUUGUUGGUGGGGUAGUGGCUUACCCAGGCUUUGACAGGUAGCCGGCCUGAGAGGGUGACCGGCGACAUUGGGACUAAGGGACGGCCCAGACGCCUACGGGAGGCAGCAGUGGGAAAUAUUGCACAAUGGGCGGAAGCCUGAGGCAGCAACGCCGCGUGCGGGAUGACGGCCUUCGGGUGGUAAACCGCUGUCGCCUGUGACGAAGCGUGAGUGACGGUAAUGGGUAAAGAAGCACCGGCUAACUACGUG
RNAcentral lists this ribosomal RNA (468 nucleotides) under uncultured bacterium. RNAcentral describes it as "partial 16S ribosomal RNA". It matches the Rfam family "Bacterial small subunit ribosomal RNA", at positions 28 to 507 of the family's 1533-position model. The record is from RNAcentral.